This 463-nucleotide ribosomal RNA is filed under the name Salmonella enterica. Its description in RNAcentral is "bacterial SSU rRNA". It matches the Rfam family "Bacterial small subunit ribosomal RNA", at positions 1 to 460 of the family's 1533-position model. Lineage: Bacteria; Pseudomonadati; Pseudomonadota; Gammaproteobacteria; Enterobacterales; Enterobacteriaceae. The record is from RNAcentral.
AAAUUGAAGAGUUUGAUCAUGGCUCAGAUUGAACGCUGGCGGCAGGCCUAACACAUGCAAGUCGAACGGUAACAGGAAGCAGCUUGCUGCUUUGCUGACGAGUGGCGGACGGGUGAGUAAUGUCUGGGAAACUGCCUGAUGGAGGGGGAUAACUACUGGAAACGGUGGCUAAUACCGCAUAACGUCGCAAGACCAAAGAGGGGGACCUUCGGGCCUCUUGCCAUCAGAUGUGCCCAGAUGGGAUUAGCUAGUUGGUGAGGUAACGGCUCACCAAGGCGACGAUCCCUAGCUGGUCUGAGAGGAUGACCAGCCACACUGGAACUGAGACACGGUCCAGACUCCUACGGGAGGCAGCAGUGGGGAAUAUUGCACAAUGGGCGCAAGCCUGAUGCAGCCAUGCCGCGUGUAUGAAGAAGGCCUUAGGGUUGUAAAGUACUUUCAGCGGGGAGGAAGGUGUUGCGGU